RNAcentral lists this transfer RNA (78 nucleotides) under Dreissena polymorpha. Its description in RNAcentral is "tRNA-Ser". Lineage: Eukaryota; Metazoa; Mollusca; Bivalvia; Myida; Dreissenidae. The record is from RNAcentral.
GUUGUCGUGGCCGAUGGGUUAAGUGAACUAGAAAUCUUUUGGGAUCUUCCCGCGCAGGUUCGAAUCCUGCCGACAUCG